CCUCAGUCGCCUAGAGGUCCCGCUGAGGAGAGGUGUACAUGCAGAAGUCCAGUAAAGUGAAGUCGCUGUACUGUUUUAUUUUUAUUUUAAACAGUUAUGGGAGAAUAAACCCGUCCAGCUGGCAAAGUGAGAUCUGACUCCUCUGGUCAUUUGCACAACACAACGCAGAGAACUAACGGCAAUCAGAGUUUAAGGCCAGACCGGCUACAUCAGGAGCACGAACUGGGGUGUCCAAAUGACGAACAAACAGUAUACCACAUUCUUGAUUUUUAGUUCACACACACUUCUUAUAAUGACUAACUACACUUGAAAUUUUGGAGAUGUUAGCUCUUUCUACAGUAAAGUAACAGUGGGAUGCAAAUAAUAUCAGGCUGACUAAUAGCAAAAAAAGUUUGGGAACCACUGAGUUAUUGUAAUCGUGUGAGCAUUAACUUUUCAACUUUUAUCCUGCUAUUGAGGGGAUGACAUCAUCUUUUUACAAUAUCUGAUGCAAUAUAAACAUUUCACAUUCUUAUGUCUAAUUUGAUUGGAAGAGGGAGCUGUCCAAUCAAAACUUACUGUUCUUCCAAGCCUUAAAAUGAGAAGUUUAAAUACUGCCUAGUAAAAGCAAAGUUGUUUGACUGAGCUCAGAGGUGUUUGUGAAAUCUGAUAAAGAAGAAGAUUUAUCACGUACUUCAUUAAUAUUUGCUUUGCUUUUUUUCCUUCUUCUUCUUCUCCUUCUUCUUCAACUUCCAAACUGAAUAUGUCUUUACAGAAUGCUUCAAUCAAUGUAACACACUUUAUUAUAGGUGGUUUUGACACACUCAAUAGACCUAUUGCUGUUGGUGUGUUUAUACUAAUAAUCUAUCUUCUUGCUGUUCUUGCCAAUAUGGCAAAUAUUAUGUUUAUUGUUUCUGACAAGAGUUUACAUAAACCAAUGUAUCUUCUGAUUUGCAACCUUGCUGUUGUUGAUAUAAUGUACACCUCCAGUUGCAAUCCAACAAUGAUUGGGGUUCUACUCGCAGGUGUUAAUACUAUAUCCUAUGUGGAGUGUUUAAUUCAAAUGUGUGUUUUCCAUUUGGGAACAGUGAUGGAGUCAUUUGUUUUAGCAUUUAUGGCACUGGAUAGAUUCAUUGCAAUCAUUUAUCCGUUCCAGUAUCACAGUUAUUUAACAAACACACAUGUUCUUGUUCUUACAUUUAUCCUGUGGUUCGUUGCCUGGUGUUUUAUGUGCUAUAUGCCUGCAAUAGUUAUCCCCCUACCACACUGUAGCUCCAGGCUUAGGUACACUUUCUGUGACUUUCCUGCUGUGUUAAGAACAACCUGUGUUAACCCAGAUAAAUAUUUCAAUGAAGGUGCCAUUAUAGCAUUUUUUAUUUUCUUUUUCACUUUUGUUUUCAUUUGUCUUUCAUAUUGUGGAAUCUUACUUUUUGUCAAAUUAUCUUCAAAUAAUGAAAAAAAGAAAAUGGGGAGCACUCUUGUGAGUCACUUAAUUUGUGUAAUUGUUCAUUACGGUCCUGCGUUUGUUCAGAUUAUCUUCACCAGGUUGGGUGUGGUAUUAACUCUCGAGGAACGCCAAGGUUUAU
Molecule: long non-coding RNA, 1565 nt
Organism: Oreochromis aureus
Lineage: Eukaryota; Metazoa; Chordata; Actinopteri; Cichliformes; Cichlidae
Exons: 3
Source: RefSeq, a predicted model, not a curated record